GUCGCAACGCGUUGGCCCAAUUGAUUGAUGGUGCUUGCACCUGAUUGAUUUUGGUCGCCAACGAGUGGCGGACGGGUGAGUAACACGUAGGUAACCUGCCCAGAAGCGGGGGACAACAUUUGGAAACAGAUGCUAAUACCGCAUAACAGCGUUGUUCGCAUGAACAACGCUUAAAAGAUGGCUUCUCGCUAUCACUUCUGGAUGGACCUGCGGUGCAUUAGCUUGUUGGUGGGGUAACGGCCUACCAAGGCGAUGAUGCAUAGCCGAGUUGAGAGACUGAUCGGCCACAAUGGGACUGAGACACGGCCCAUACUCCUACGGGAGGCAGCAGUAGGGAAUCUUCCACAAUGGGCGCAAGCCUGAUGGAGCAACACCGCGUGAGUGAAGAAGGGUUUCGGCUCGUAAAGCUCUGUUGUUAAAGAAGAACACGUAUGAGAGUAACUGUUCAUACGUUGACGGUAUUUAACCAGAAAGUCACGGCUAACUACGUGCCAGCAGCCGCGGUAAUACGUAGGUGGCAAGCGUUAUCCGGAUUUAUUGGGCGUAAAGAGAGUGCAGGCGGUUUUCUAAGUCUGAUGUGAAAGCCUUCGGCUUAACCGGAGAAGUGCAUCGGAAACUGGAUAACUUGAGUGCAGAAGAGGGUAGUGGAACUCCAUGUGUAGCGGUGGAAUGCGUAGAUAUAUGGAAGAACACCAGUGGCGAAGGCGGCUACCUGGUCUGCAACUGACGCUGAGACUCGAAAGCAUGGGUAGCGAACAGGAUUAGAUACCCUGGUAGUCCAUGCCGUAAACGAUGAGUGCUAGGUGUUGGAGGGUUUCCGCCCUUCAGUGCCGGAGCUAACGCAUUAAGCACUCCGCCUGGGGAGUACGACCGCAAGGUUGAAACUCAAAGGAAUUGACGGGGGCCCGCACAAGCGGUGGAGCAUGUGGUUUAAUUCGAAGCUACGCGAAGAACCUUACCAGGUCUUGACAUCUUGCGCCAACCCUAGAGAUAGGGCGUUUCCUUCGGGAACGCAAUGACAGGUGGUGCAUGGUCGUCGUCAGCUCGUGUCGUGAGAUGUUGGGUUAAGUCCCGCAACGAGCGCAACCCUUGUUACUAGUUGCCAGCAUUAAGUUGGGCACUCUAGUGAGACUGCCGGUGACAAACCGGAGGAAGGUGGGGACGACGUCAGAUCAUCAUGCCCCUUAUGACCUGGGCUACACACGUGCUACAAUGGACGGUACAACGAGUCGCGAACUCGCGAGGGCAAGCAAAUCUCUUAAAACCGUUCUCAGUUCGGACUGCAGGCUGCAACUCGCCUGCACGAAGUCGGAAUCGCUAGUAAUCGCGGAUCAGCAUGCCGCGGUGAAUACGUUCCCGGGCCUUGUACACACCGCCCGUCACACCAUGAGAGUUUGUAACACCCAAAGUCGGUGGGGUAACCUU
This 1425-nucleotide ribosomal RNA is filed under the name Limosilactobacillus fermentum. RNAcentral's name for it is "bacterial SSU rRNA". It matches the Rfam family "Bacterial small subunit ribosomal RNA". The record is from RNAcentral. Lineage: Bacteria; Bacillati; Bacillota; Bacilli; Lactobacillales; Lactobacillaceae.